GCGUGGAAGAUGCUGCGUCGGCGACGGAGGAUGAGUUCGCUGCUGCCGGCGAGUACGACGAUGAAGCGUCCUCGAGGAAGCGCGCAAGGUACGAAUGAAUUGAAUCGAGUUUCAUUCGGUCAUUCAUUCUGUGCUAAACUGCUACCUUAACUGCAAGUUUAGAUUCUUUACCUUGGGCCAUGGUAACCCCGGCAGAAAUGGAACAAACAACCUGUACAUAAUUAGCAGUGCUAUCAGAUGAUGGACAAAUUUCUUUUCACGAAAAAUUGAUGUAGAAAUUAACUCGAUUGUGUACUAUAUAUCUACGUGCUUGAUCUUUCGUUUCUGAAAGUGCUUGAUCAUCUUUUUCACUGGGCCACUUAUAGCAUAUGCUUGUAGUUUAGUCUGUUUGUCUUCUCUUUUAUGAGAAGGAUUUGUUGCUGCUAUUUCCGGUGCUGCCUCAGGCAGAGGAAGGACACCGCCGCGGUGCCACGCGAAGCAGAGCUGCGGGCAACGCCGAGGACGCGUGCCAUGUCGUCGAUCGGGUGCCGGCGCCUUGGCCACCACCGGUUGCCUCCCUGCGUCACAAUGUGCAUCUCGGCCUGAUCGAUCGAUUGGUUUGGGGAGGAAAAAUGGCUCUCACCG
This 624-nucleotide long non-coding RNA is filed under the name Hordeum vulgare. RNAcentral's name for it is "long non-coding RNA (HVUL_LNC005676)". The record is from RNAcentral. Lineage: Eukaryota; Viridiplantae; Streptophyta; Magnoliopsida; Poales; Poaceae.